UAAAAUAAAAACAUAAGCGGUGUUUGAACCAAGAUUGUUAACUUUUAUUCUGCUUACAACUGCAGCAGAUACCGACAGACUUUGUUUUUGCUCUUUUCACAAUAAAAGACCUGGACAGCAGGCAAUACACUGUGUUACUGUUGUACCAGCAGGUAACCUAAACUCACUCUGACCACACAUUUUUGAUUUAUUUUUGAUCUGAUGUGGUCAGAGCGAGUCUUUUGUCUUCCUUAGCAUCAAUAACUUUGCAAGUGGACACGUUCUGCAAGGCUGCAGCUCGACCUUUGCUGUGAACCACAAAGUGCAGCUUCUGUUUCACCCAGCAGAAGUGGAGAACAGCGAUAUCUCUACAAAGUCAAAGGCCCAAAUCACCUCAGUUACAGAGACACGAUACCAGUCAGGCAACAUCUGAGCCCAUUUUCACACCCAGCCAUAAUCAAGCAGGCCCAAAAAGUCCUCUCAUGUCCUCCAUCUCUUAGUUCCCUGACCAUUAAAGCCAUUAACACCACCCAGGCUGAAAUACGUGGCUGUCGUUCUCGUCGUUGAUCACCGUAAUACAUCUUAACGUGAUGCAGACAGGAUGUGCAACUGAAUGAUGAAAGCAUUCGCCGUGUUUUACUAGUUCUUUGCUGUGAUUUUAUGCUACAGGGACGCUGAUGUCUCACUCGAACGAUAAAGUGUCCACGCAGCCGACAAUUAAGUCGUUUAACUGGCGCUUUUAUCUACAGAGAGCGACUUACAGUGAAGGUAAUGAACCCGGCACCUCGAGGAUUACAAGCGAGCGCUAAUCAGCGAUACAACCUGAUCAAAGAAAAACACGCUGUUGUGAAAUUGUCGCGUGCUUUAUCUGAACAAAGAUCACCCCGGUCGUUGCCUGUCAAUGAAACGGCGAUGUGUGAUGGAGGAGUGCCGUGUGUGGAGGAGGAGGAGGAGGAGGGUGGAUAAAAGUUCUGAAGUGGCAGAGCGGGCCGGUGUUACGGCCCGGUAGGGAGGCUGAGUCAGUGGAUGAGCUCUUUGUCCCAGUGGAGCUUUAGUUCUCAUCGACACAGCGUGACGUAAAUGUCACCUCCACCAGGCUCGCUCAUUACGGCCACACAGCCCGGAGGAGGAGGAGGGGGGGACGCCAAAGCUUGGAUUGACAUUCAAAGAGUCGUAGGACAAGAGCGUUAUAGGUACAGUUUGUGUGCGUUGGUAUCAUCGCUGCAGACUCUGAUAUCUGAUGAGGGUCCUCUUGUCCCGCCGCGCUCUCAGGCUCGAUGAUUAAGAACUAUACAUCACCGUUCGUAUCGAUUUCCGAUUACGUCGCCGUUCUCUGCGCCGACAAACAUAAAGACAGGUCGACCGGUCAAUAAAUCAACCUCAUGUGAUAUUCAUGUACACCUCAACCGCUGUUUUACCUCCAGCGUGCAGCACCAGCUAGCACGCAACACCAAGAGACGCAGAUGUUUGGCCGGGGAGCAGAUUUAAAGAUGAGUUUGAGUCACUUUGAGUCGCUCACAGCAGUUAUUGACACGCUAACCUGACUGCUACAGAGGACACAGCAAGUGUAGUCGAGGCCACAGUGAGAGUUUUGAGACUAUCAAGGAUGAACUUAGUUUGUCAAGACAAGAAGGAGAAGCUAACUUUGGAGUCAGAAAGAAACUAGAGUGUUAAAAAGAGGAACAGCAAAGCUGCCAUGCCGGGUUCAUGUGUGAACACCACGGAGAGCGACCGCAGCGGGUCGAUCCCGGCAGUCAGCCGGUGUUUCAGCACCGCGGGCAGCACCGCCAGCCUGCCGCGGGUCCUGCCCCAUCACCGGCGGUCACACACGGAUUAUAACACCGCCAAGGUGACCCUGAUGAAAUCCACCAAACAUCCUCUCCCACAUAUAAAUCAUGUGAGGGGGGGUUAGAACAGGAAAACACUUCGUUUAGACGUGAACAUUAGGGGAUUUCUGCUGACAGUGCGCACAAACCGAGAGAGAAUCAAACCCAAAAGAUGUGGAAAUCAGGGCAGAACGUGGCAGAAUCAUCCUCCAACAACAGCUGGUGGUGUUUCAACAGCGACGUGAAGGAUUUAUUAAGCGACGACAACAACACAGCGCCGCUGAGCUCACGCCGCGUCUCCAGGAGACGUCACCGGCGCGUCACGUAUUGACAGACGAUCCAGCCAAUUGAGGCGAUGACGCAGAAGUUUGACAAGUUCGCCUUUGAAAUGUGCGAGUUGUAAUUAACAGCGACUUAAAUGGCAUUAAGUAGAUUGCCUCUCUUAUUGGCUUUGAGGAUCGAUACGUUUGGAGUCGAUCGCUGCGUAAAAGAGCGCAUCGUGUGCGUAAAAAUGGCCAGAAGGAAAAAAAAAAACAAAAAACAGAAAGGUUG
Acanthopagrus latus (yellowfin seabream) is the source of this 2357-nucleotide long non-coding RNA. RefSeq lists it as uncharacterized. NCBI's taxonomy places the organism in Eukaryota, Metazoa, Chordata, Actinopteri, Spariformes, Sparidae. The transcript has 3 exons. The record is from RefSeq and is a predicted model, not a curated record.